UUUUCGUCCCUUUAUUUCGAUAUCGUCUGCUGUGGGUUCAACAUCCUCUUCACGCAUUUUAAGUUUCCGAGGCAUGCGCUGGGCACGAACCAUAUCUGCAUCAGGGUUAUCAAUUUUGUUGUCAGGAGCCACAUCAUGACUUUUUUCUCCAACAUCUGCUCCAAGGAUCUGUUUAUUUGCCCAAGACUUAAAUCGAGAGGCCCGCUCGGUAGCGUCAUCACUGGAAUCAUCUUCGGAGGUCUCUAAAUCAAAAUCUUCAUUUUCAAAUUCAGGAUGUCCAAAUGAGGGUUGUAAUUUUUGUUCUGAGCGUAAAUUAACUACAUCUUCAGGCACCGUUUUUUCUGCAUCCUUAGUACUAGGCUCGUUAGUGUCUUUAUUCUCUUCUGAAGAGUUGUCAGAAUCCUCUGAGAAUUCCUCACUAUCUGUACUUAAAUAAUCUUCCUCAGCAGAAUCAUAUUCGGGAUCUUCAUUUAGCAUUUUACCCCAAGAAGCAUUUUUUUUCUUUUUAGGAGGAAGGACUUUAAUGUUAGGAGUAAUCUCACUUUCAUUAGUUCCUGUGGAAAAACCAAACCCAAAACCAGAUCUGGUAGAAUACUUUUCUGGAGCAUUGGUUUCAGCUGUACUGCUCUUUGUAGUUGUCGUUUCAACGUCAACAACUUUGUAAAGUCGGCUAUCAGCGUCAGAUAAUGGAAGUCCCAAUUUUUCUUCCAAGAGUGAUUUCUUUAACUUCUCUUUUGCAGUGGCUUGCUUCCCUAAAUUCUUUGAACUCGAAAGUAAAGACGUGUCUAUGCGUUCUUCUGCUA
This is a non-coding RNA of Schizosaccharomyces pombe (fission yeast), 803 nucleotides long. Lineage: Eukaryota; Fungi; Ascomycota; Schizosaccharomycetes; Schizosaccharomycetales; Schizosaccharomycetaceae. The record is from the annotation of a GenBank genome assembly.